GCAAAGUACCUUGGGGAAUGUAGUAGUCCUUCUUUUCUGAGAACCAGGUACAUACACUACAUGAUGUUAUGAUGUGGAAUACCAAUAACCGAAAAUCAUGAAACCAUGACACUCUUGCAAGUAGGGUUAGUUUCCUUUAGAUUUCUUUUUUAGUCUAUUGCUACUAUGUUGCUGCUUCCUUUCCAAAAUCAGUUAGAUGUCAGAUUCUGGAGUGUUCGGAUCUCAGACAAAAAGGACCUGAUGGAAAUGAUACAGCUUCUGUAGAGAUUAAUUUUGCUGUUCUGUGGUGGCUCUGAUACCAUUGUGUUGACAAGUGACAAGAGUUCACUGGCUGAGGAAAAAUGGCUCUAAUAAACAGUGGCAACCGUUGGUCUGGCAAUAAAUCCUCCUCAGCUUGGGGCCUUGCGCAUUGUAGUCUCCUCAACAAACCCUGGGUGCUGCACGGAGACCCAUCCUUGUUUUUCACCAGCAAGGUUCACGGCUGAGUCUUUGAUAAAGCUGAAGACAGUACAAUCAGCAAAUGAAGAGAUGCCAUUUUAAAAUGACAACAGCUAUAAGAAGCAGUUCUAACUAACUUCUUCAAGAGCAUACAAGACCUUUCUUUUGCUUCAGAGAAAAGGCUUUUGUCGGGCAGAUGGUGGUUCCUGCACUGAUCUGCAACAGCUAUUGCUGAGGUUGAAGCCCUGCGUCUGUCUCAUAUACUUCCAGAACACCUGGCAGGUGAAAAGUUAGCUACUUCACGUCAGAGUACAUCAAAAAGCACUCCUUCUGGUCAUUUGACUUGACCCAUAAAUCUACUGCUAGCAAUAACACAGGAAGAUAACUGCCAUUGAUGUAAUCACUGUAAAGACAGACUGAGGGCAGAAGAAAUUAAACCAGUUGGGUGAAUUAGCUCAGCAUGUGAAGGUUCGCAGGAGAGUCUUUAUCUACUCUUUCCACAGACUGAAUGCGCGUAAUUGCAGGUCUUGCUAUUCUCUCUAGCAGUGAGAAGCCACUGCUGCAAAGAAGCCACGUUGGAGCAUGGGGAGAUAAUCUGCUUUUGGCUUACUAUUUUUUUCUGGCAUAAACAUCUACUAGCAUAUUUGAAGAGAAUUUCUGUAUGAAUAGUCACCAGUCUUGAAGAGAAAAGAAGAGAAGGCUGACUCAACAGAGAAAUCCAAACACCCCUCUGUGAAGUGUUUCUGGAGUUUAUCCCCUGCUGAAAGCCUCCUCUAAGUUCUUUGCUGUUGCCCAGCCAACACCUGAGGGAUCACAAACGAACCUGGGAGCAAUACUCAAAAUCCAGAGGAAGAGGUUGCAAUCUACAGGAAGCUGACAAAAUUCAGAAAAUCAGACACUUAAGCCGUGACCUUCACAGAGAAGGGACUGUGUCAUCUUGUUUAUGCAAUAGCGAAAAGUGGGCCCUGAUCCUGCAUGGAGCCGUUGGAUUUUAUCAGAAGAUCCGUAAAGCAAGUGAAUACUUCAGAGUGUGCUUUUAUGGAACAUCCUUCUAUGGAAAAUACUUUGCAUUAGAAGACAAAAAAAAAAGGUAUACGGCAGCACAAAGGUUAAAAAUUACUCGUUAGAUUGAGGUUAAGAAAAUCAGAAAUAAAAUUAUUUAGCUAGGAGCUUAUUUAAA
Numida meleagris (helmeted guineafowl) is the source of this 1618-nucleotide long non-coding RNA. RefSeq lists it as uncharacterized. The transcript is spliced from 16 exons. NCBI's taxonomy places the organism in Eukaryota, Metazoa, Chordata, Aves, Galliformes, Numididae. The record is from RefSeq and is a predicted model, not a curated record.